Molecule: transfer RNA, 72 nt
Filed under: Heterocephalus glaber (naked mole-rat)
Lineage: Eukaryota; Metazoa; Chordata; Mammalia; Rodentia; Bathyergidae
Rfam family: tRNA
About the family: Transfer RNA (tRNA) molecules are approximately 80 nucleotides in length. Their secondary structure includes four short double-helical elements and three loops (D, anti-codon, and T loops). Further hydrogen bonds mediate the characteristic L-shaped molecular structure. tRNAs have two regions of fundamental functional importance: the anti-codon, which is responsible for specific mRNA codon recognition, and the 3' end, to which the tRNAs corresponding amino acid is attached (by aminoacyl-tRNA synthetases). tRNAs cope with the degeneracy of the genetic code in two manners: having more than one tRNA (with a specific anti-codon) for a particular amino acid; and 'wobble' base-pairing, i.e. permitting non-standard base-pairing at the 3rd anti-codon position.
Source: Rfam by way of RNAcentral
GUGGAUGUAGCUCAGCAGUGCAGCACCUGCCUGGCAAGCACGAGGUCCUGAGUUUGAUUCCCAGUACCCCCC